RNAcentral lists this ribosomal RNA (252 nucleotides) under uncultured bacterium. RNAcentral's name for it is "partial 16S ribosomal RNA". It matches the Rfam family "Bacterial small subunit ribosomal RNA", at positions 524 to 776 of the family's 1533-position model. The record is from RNAcentral.
UACGUAGGUCCCGAGCGUUGUCCGGAUUUAUUGGGCGUAAAGCGAGCGCAGGUGGUUUAUUAAGUCUGGUGUAAAAGGCAGUGGCUCAACCAUUGUAUGCAUUGGAAACUGGAAGACUUGAGUGCAGGAGAGGAGAGUGGAACUCCAUGUGUAGCGGUGAAAUGCGUAGAUAUAUGGAGGAACACCGGUGGCGAAAGCGGCUCUCUGGCCUGUAACUGACACUGAGGCUCGAAAGCGUGGGGAGCAAACAGG